Spodoptera frugiperda (fall armyworm) is the source of this 759-nucleotide long non-coding RNA. RefSeq lists it as uncharacterized. The record is from RefSeq and is a predicted model, not a curated record. NCBI's taxonomy places the organism in Eukaryota, Metazoa, Arthropoda, Insecta, Lepidoptera, Noctuidae. The transcript is spliced from 3 exons.
AGACUUUUUUAUUUAAAAAAAGCUACUUAAGUUAAUUCACCAACAGAUCUGAUUUCACAAACAAUUCAACGAAUUCGUCGCUUUAAAUGUCGCAUCGAAUAAUGGUACGAAACAGAAAUUACGUUUCGCUGCGAUCUUCCCUGAAUUAUGGAUUGAGCAACGUAAAUGACAGGACAAAAUGGCUCAUUUAAUAACAAAGCUUUAAAACCUCAACAGCCUUGAAGGACCGUUAUUACUAGGGCCUUGUAAAGUUGCAAGGUCCCUCGGAAAUUAAACGGCCGUCAUUCAGUUCUAUUGCGUCUGUAAAUUGUAAUGAUAACAAGGAAGGAAUGGAGGUGGGAAGAAGAUUGUUAGGGGAAGUGAUGAGUAAUGAAAGCUUUGUCACAAUGUCAGUGCACCUGUGCAUAAAAUCAAUAUUUAUUGUCAGAUUAUUCAUACAAACCAAUGAUCUGGAUGAAUGGUUCAGAAACAUCGUACAUGACAUCAGGGGGAAACGUGACGUCAUACGGAUAGUACACGAUCACUAAGUAAGAUUAAAAAAUAGCAGCAACAUUGACGCUCAGACGAUGGAACGUAUUAUAAGAAUUUUCCAAUAUAAGUUGACUUUACAUUUUGAAGACUUUCGUCACAACGAGAGGUCAGGUGUUCUGGUUUAUAGUGUGAUGGUUCCGUCACCAUAUAAGAGGUGGCGUUUCCUUCAUGCUCAACGCGUUGAAUGUGUUUCGUUACCUUAAACAAAAUACGUAAAAAAAUAUUGCA